Non-coding RNA from Marasmius tenuissimus, 83 nucleotides. The record is from the annotation of a GenBank genome assembly. Lineage: Eukaryota; Fungi; Basidiomycota; Agaricomycetes; Agaricales; Marasmiaceae.
GCCCGCCUAGCUCAAUCGGAUAGAGCGUCAGACUCUUAGUUGCGGGUAUCUGAAGGCUGCGAGUUCGACCCUCGCGGUGGGCU